This 550-nucleotide small RNA is filed under the name Pan troglodytes (chimpanzee). Its description in RNAcentral is "processed transcript". The record is from RNAcentral. Lineage: Eukaryota; Metazoa; Chordata; Mammalia; Primates; Hominidae.
AUAGUGCGGCGCGGGAUGCUCCUGGCGCGGCAAGUGGUUCUUCCUCAGCUCUCUCCUGCAGGUAAAAGAUACCUGCUUUCUUCAGCCUAUGUAGACAGCCACAAAUGGGAAGCAAGAGAAAAAGAACAUUACUGUCUUGCUGAUCUUGCAUCUUUAAUGGAUAAAACAUUUGAGAGAAAGUUGCCUGUUAGUUCUUUAACAAUAUCACGGCUUAUAGACAACAUUUCCUCUCGGGAAGAGAUAGAUCAUGCAGAGUAUUACCUUUACAAAAAGGGAGAAUGCUCAUCCAGCAGUCCACAGAAUUAUUCCAGGCAAGUGCCCAUUCCAGAGACUCACUCACCUGACAUAUUACUACUGGAAGUUGAAAAGUCCCCACAUUUAUUUGUCUGAACUGCUUAAAAAGUCACCAACAGGAAUUCUUCUCAAACUUGCCAUCCAAAAUUGAACCCUGCUGGCCCAGUGUUUUGACUUGUUUAUAUUCCAGAUAGCCACUCAUGUUUCGACACAGCCCCAACUGCUGGUACCUGAGAAACUGGACUAUCCACACCUG